This 497-nucleotide ribosomal RNA is filed under the name uncultured bacterium. Its description in RNAcentral is "partial 16S ribosomal RNA". It matches the Rfam family "Bacterial small subunit ribosomal RNA", at positions 28 to 507 of the family's 1533-position model. The record is from RNAcentral.
GACGAACGCUGGCGGCGUGCCUAAUACAUGCAAGUUGAGCGCUGAAGGUUGGUACUUGUACCAACUGGAUGAGCAGCGAACGGGUGAGUAACGCGUGGGGAAUCUGCCCUUGAGCGGGGGACAACAUUUGGAAACGAAUGCUAAUACCGCAUAAAAACUUUAAACACAAGUUUUAAGUUUGAAAGAUGCAAUUGCAUCACUCAAAGAUGAUCCCGCGUUGUAUUAGCUAGUUGGUGAAGUAAGGGCUCACCAAGGCGAUGAUACAUAGCCGACCUGAGAGGGUGAUCGGCCACAUUGGGACUGAGACACGGCCCAAACUCCUACGGGAGGCAGCAGUAGGGAAUCUUCGGCAAUGGACGAAAGUCUGACCGAGCAACGCCGCGUGAGUGAAGAAGGUUUUCGGAUCGUAAAACUCGGUUGGUAGAGAAGAACGUUGGUGAGAGUGGAAAGCUCAUCAAGUGACGGUAACUACACAGAAAGGGACGGCUAACUACGUG